Molecule: ribosomal RNA, 410 nt
Filed under: uncultured microorganism
Description: bacterial SSU rRNA
Rfam family: Bacterial small subunit ribosomal RNA
Source: RNAcentral
GAGUUUGAUCUUGGCUCAGAUUGAACGCUGGCGGCAUGCCUUACACAUGCAAGUCGAACGGCAGCAUGAUCUAGCUUGCUAGAUUGAUGGCGAGUGGCGAACGGGUGAGUAAUACAUCGGAACGUGCCCUGUAGUGGGGGAUAACUAGUCGAAAGAUUAGCUAAUACCGCAUACGACCUGAGGGUGAAAGUGGGGGACCGCAAGGCCUCAUGCUAUAGGAGCGGCCGAUGUCUGAUUAGCUAGUUGGUGGGGUAAAGGCCCACCAAGGCGACGAUCAGUAGCUGGUCUGAGAGGACGAUCAGCCACACUGGGACUGAGACACGGCCCAGACUCCUACGGGAGGCAGCAGUGGGGAAUUUUGGACAAUGGGCGAAAGCCUGAUCCAGCAAUGCCGCGUGUGAAGAAGGCCU